RNAcentral lists this ribosomal RNA (497 nucleotides) under uncultured bacterium. Its description in RNAcentral is "partial 16S ribosomal RNA". It matches the Rfam family "Bacterial small subunit ribosomal RNA", at positions 28 to 507 of the family's 1533-position model. The record is from RNAcentral.
GAUGAACGCUGGCGGCGUGCCUAAUACAUGCAAGUCGAGCGAACAGACGAGGAGCUUGCGCCUCUGACGUUAGCGGCGGAAGGGUGAGUAACACGUGGAUAACCUACCUAUAAGACGGGGAAAACUUCGGGAAACCGGAGCAAAUACCGGAGAAUAUAUUGAACCGCAUGGGUGGAUGGUGAAAGACGGCGUUGCUGGCACUAAUAGAUGGAUCCGCGCCGCAUUAGCUAGUUGGUAAGUUAAAGGGUUACGAAGGCAACGAGGCGUGGCCGACCUGAGAGGGUGAUAGCCCACACUGGAGCUUGGCCACGGUCCAGACUCCUGCGGUAGGCAGCAGUAGGCAACCUUCCGCAAUGGGCGAAAGCUUUGCGCAGCAACGCCGCGUGAGUGAUGAAGGUCUUCCGUGCGUAAUGCUCUGUUAUUAGUUAAGAACAAAUGUGUAAUUAACCAUGCACGUCUUGACGGUACCUAAUCAGAAAGCCACGGCUAACUACGUG